GGAAUCUUGGGCAAUGGGCGAAAGCCUGACCCAGCGACGCCGCGUGAGGGAUGAAGGCCUUCGGGUCGUAAACCUCUUUUAUCAGGGAAGAAGUUCUGACGGUACCUGAUGAAUAAGCCACGUCUAACUACGUUCCAGCAGCCGCGGUAAUACGUAGGUGGCAAGCGUUGUCCGGAUUUACUGGGCGUAAAGGGCUUGUAGGCGGUUCGUUAAGUCUGGUGUGAAAUCUCCCGGCUCAACUGGGAGGGGUCAUCGGAUACUGGCGAGCUAGAGGUGGGCAGAGGAAAGCAGAAUUCCCGGUGUAGCGGUGAAAUGCGUAGAUAUCGGGAGGAAUACCAGUGGCGAAGGCGGCUUUCUGGGCCUAUCCUGACGCUGAGGAGCGAAAGCGUGGGUAGCAAA
This 399-nucleotide ribosomal RNA is filed under the name uncultured bacterium. RNAcentral's name for it is "bacterial SSU rRNA". It matches the Rfam family "Bacterial small subunit ribosomal RNA", at positions 358 to 772 of the family's 1533-position model. The record is from RNAcentral.